UGCAGCUCUAUUACCCUCUCUUUCUGAUGUUUUCAAUAUAAUGUUACCUGACUCUGAUGUGUGACUAUUUUUACGGGGUUAAACAAAACGGUUCUUUCUGGCUCACCUUUAGCUUGGAAAACCCAGCAUGUUUUGGAGUCUUUGCUCAGAGAGGAGCCCUGCACUAAGUUCCACUUUGGUGAGCCUGAGUUCUGCCAGAAGAGUGAUUCUGCUCCAUGGACAGUGGGCUGACCUCUCCUAAUUCUCUCGACGGAAGAAUCAUCUCCUUCGCUCCAUGUCUGUCCUGGACAAGGAAUCCAGUAGAAUUUCCUGCAAUGAAUAGAGGUCUUCAGUAUCUGCACUGUUCAACAUGGUGGCCGUUUGCCCCUGUGCUUUGAGCAGCUGAGGCACUGAAUGGCAGCCAUGUGCCAAAGAGAUUCAGAAGAGUCACCUGUGUCCUGUGGAGACCGGGCCAUGAGUACAGAUGCAGGCCAUCUACUGAGAAGUACUUAAGUAAUGUUAGCAGCCACAACAGUGAGAAAAGUUAUGACAUAUACAAAAUCCUCCUGCCUCCGCCUCUGGAAUAGCUGAGAAUAUAAAUCAGUGCCUCUGGAUAACAGGUUUGUCUGCACCAUUCUUAAUAUCUCCUGAGCCACAGCUCAAGAAAAAAGAGCCGU
This 656-nucleotide long non-coding RNA is filed under the name Mus spicilegus (steppe mouse). RNAcentral describes it as "lncRNA (ENSMSIG00000012770.1)". The record is from RNAcentral. Lineage: Eukaryota; Metazoa; Chordata; Mammalia; Rodentia; Muridae.